RNAcentral lists this ribosomal RNA (324 nucleotides) under uncultured eukaryote. RNAcentral describes it as "partial 18S ribosomal RNA". It matches the Rfam family "Eukaryotic small subunit ribosomal RNA", at positions 1470 to 1796 of the family's 1831-position model. The record is from RNAcentral.
CCCUUAGAUGUUCUGGGCAGCACGCGCGCUACACUGAUGCAUUCAACGAGUUUCUUCCUGGUCCGAGAGGAAUGGGUAACCUUUUGAAAGUGCAUCGUGAUAGGGAUAGACUAUUGCAAUUAUUGGUCUUCAACGAGGAAUUCCUAGUAGACGUAGUUCAUCAGACUGCAUCGAUUACGUCCCUGCCCUUUGUACACACCGCCCGUCGCUCCUACCGAUUGAAUGCUCAGGUGAGCCAUUCGGACCUUCAUCAUGCCGGUUUCCGGUUUUGAUGAGGGAAAGUCUUGCGAACCUUAUCAUUUAGAGGAAGGAGAAGUCGUAACA